This 458-nucleotide ribosomal RNA is filed under the name uncultured bacterium. Its description in RNAcentral is "partial 16S ribosomal RNA". It matches the Rfam family "Bacterial small subunit ribosomal RNA", at positions 338 to 795 of the family's 1533-position model. The record is from RNAcentral.
CCUACGGGUGACUGCAGUGAGGAAUAUUGGUCAAUGGGCGAGAGCCUGAACCAGCCAAGUCGCGUGAGGGAGUACUGCCCUAUGGGUUGUAAACCUCUUUUGUCGGGGAGCAAAAGCCGGACGUGUCCGGCUGUGAGAGUAACCGCAGAAAAAGCAUCGGCUAACUCCGUGCCAGCAGCCGCGGUAAUACGGAGGAUGCGGGCGUUAUCCGGAUUUAUUGGGUUUAAAGGGUGCGCAGGCGGAUUUUUAAGUCAGCGGUAAAAUCGUGGGGCUCAACCCCAUCCAGCCGUUGAAACUGGGGAUCUAGAGUGUGCGAGAGGUAUGCGGAAUGCGUGGUGUAGCGGUGAAAUGCAUAGAUAUCACGCAGAACCCCGAUUGCGAAGGCAGCAUACCGGUGCACAACUGACGCUCAGGCACGAAAGCGUGGGUAUCGAACAGGAUUAGAUACCCUAGUAGUC